GGACUACUGGGGUAUCUAAUCCCGUUUGCUCCCCUGGCUUUCGCGCACUCAGCGUCAGAAAAGGUCCAGCACGCCGCUUUCGCCACCGGAGUUCCUGAUGAUAUCAACACAUUUCACCGCUCCACCAUCAGUUCCGCAUGCCCCUACCUUCCUCGAGGCCGCCAGUAUCAAAGGCUGUUCUCCAGUUAAGCUGGAGGAUUUCACCCCUGACUUUUCGGCCCGCCUACGCGCCCUUUAAGCCCAGUGAUUCCGAACAACGUUCGCACGGUUCGUCUUACCGCGGCUGCUGGCAC
This 293-nucleotide ribosomal RNA is filed under the name uncultured bacterium. RNAcentral's name for it is "partial 16S ribosomal RNA". The record is from RNAcentral. RNAcentral also lists the same sequence under 2 other names.